GUUCUAUCAGUUUAGAGCUCAGUUUCACCUUUGCUAUGAAUUACAUGUUUCCUUAGCUGUUGAGGACAUUCCCGAGGAGAUAAAUGAGGUCACAGAGCCAGAUGAAGUUAUUGAAGAUUUGGAAAUUGGUAAAAAGCUAUCAGUAGAAAGUAAACAUACUGAAGAUAAAGUGGUCCCUGAAUCUGAGGAAUCAGAUACUUAAAGCUUCAAAAGAAAAGUCCCUACAUCAGGAGGACCAGCCCUAACCAUACGCUACAAAAGGGGAGCAGAUGGUUGUAAUAGACCUCACGAUGUAAUUACUGAGCAGUUCAGGGUUUGGGCAGUGAACACUAAGAUAUUGUAAAUGGGUUAUAGCCAACUGUCAUUUUAGUACUUUUU
This 378-nucleotide long non-coding RNA is filed under the name Apteryx owenii (little spotted kiwi). RNAcentral's name for it is "lncRNA (ENSAOWG00000016364.1)". Lineage: Eukaryota; Metazoa; Chordata; Aves; Apterygiformes; Apterygidae. The record is from RNAcentral.